GACGAACGCUGGCGGCGUGCUUAACACAUGCAAGUCGAACGGAAAGGCCCUGCUUUUGUGGGGUGCUCGAGUGGCGAACGGGUGAGUAACACGUGAGUAACCUGCCCUUGACUUUGGGAUAACUUCAGGAAACUGGGGCUAAUACCGGAUAGGAGCUCCUGCUGCAUGGUGGGGGUUGGAAAGUUUCGGCGGUUGGGGAUGGACUCGCGGCUUAUCAGCUUGUUGGUGGGGUAGUGGCUUACCAAGGCUUUGACGGGUAGCCGGCCUGGGAGGGUGACCGGCCACAAUGGGACUGAGAGACGGCCCAGACGCCUACGGGAGGCAGCAGUGGGGAAUAUUGCACAAUGGGCGGAAGCCUGAUGCAGCAACGCCGCGUGCGGGAUGACGGCCUUCGGGUUGUAAACCGCUUUCGCCUGUGACGAAGCGUGAGUGGCGGUAAUGGGUAAAGAAGCACCGGCUAACUACGUG
Molecule: ribosomal RNA, 468 nt
Filed under: uncultured bacterium
Lineage: Bacteria
Description: partial 16S ribosomal RNA
Rfam family: Bacterial small subunit ribosomal RNA
Source: RNAcentral